RNAcentral lists this ribosomal RNA (465 nucleotides) under Vreelandella stevensii. RNAcentral's name for it is "partial 16S ribosomal RNA". It matches the Rfam family "Bacterial small subunit ribosomal RNA", at positions 338 to 795 of the family's 1533-position model. Lineage: Bacteria; Pseudomonadati; Pseudomonadota; Gammaproteobacteria; Oceanospirillales; Halomonadaceae. The record is from RNAcentral.
CCUACGGGAGGCAGCAGUGGGGAAUAUUGGACAAUGGGGGGAACCCUGAUCCAGCCAUGCCGCGUGUGUGAAGAAGGCCCUCGGGUUGUAAAGCACUUUCAGUGAGGAAGAACGCCUGGUGGUUAAUACCCAUCAGGAAGGACAUCACUCACAGAAGAAGCACCGGCUAACUCCGUGCCAGCAGCCGCGGUAAUACGGAGGGUGCGAGCGUUAAUCGGAAUUACUGGGCGUAAAGCGCGCGUAGGUGGCUUGAUAAGCCGGUUGUGAAAGCCCCGGGCUCAACCUGGGAACGGCAUCCGGAACUGUCAAGCUAGAGUGCAGGAGAGGAAGGUAGAAUUCCCGGUGUAGCGGUGAAAUGCGUAGAGAUCGGGAGGAAUACCAGUGGCGAAGGCGGCCUUCUGGACUGACACUGACACUGAGGUGCGAAAGCGUGGGUAGCAAACAGGAUUAGAUACCCCGGUAGUC